UACGUAGGUGACAAGCGUUGUCCGGAUUUACUGGGCGUAAAGAGCGCGCAGGCGGUCGAUCAAGUCGAGUGUGAAAGCCCCCGGCUCAACUGGGGAGGGUCAUUCGAUACUGAUCGACUCGAAGGCAGGAGAGGGUAGUGGAAUUCCCGGUGUAGAGGUGAAAUUCGUAGAUAUUCGCAAGAACACCAGUGGCGAAGGCGGCUCACUGGCCCGAUACUGACGCUGAGGCACGAAAGCGUGGGGAGCAAGCAGG
RNAcentral lists this ribosomal RNA (253 nucleotides) under uncultured bacterium. Its description in RNAcentral is "partial 16S ribosomal RNA". It matches the Rfam family "Bacterial small subunit ribosomal RNA", at positions 524 to 776 of the family's 1533-position model. The record is from RNAcentral.